CCCUGGCACAGCCCCAUGGUGGUAGGGAGAAGGAGCUGGUGGGAUCGUGCCAUGGCCUGGGCCCCUCUGCUCCUCGCGCUGCUCGCCCAUGGCUCAGGUUCCCUGGUCCAGGCAGCGCUGACUCAGCCCCCAUCGCUCUCAGUGGAGCCAGGAAAGAACGCCCAGAUCACCUGCUCCGGGGGCAGCAACUGGUAUGGCUGGUACCAGCAGAAGGUGCCUGGCGGUGCCAUUGUCACUGUGAUCUAUAAGGACACCAACAGACCCUCGGGCAUCCCUUCACGAUUCUCCGGAUCCAGCUCUGGCUCCACGGCCACGUUAACCAUCACUGGGGUCCAACCCGAGGACGAGGCCGUCUAUUACUGUGGGAGCUGGGACAGCAGCAGCAGCUAUGGUGUCUGCUGGCAAUGAGUAGUAGAAAGUGAGAUGCAUACUCCAAGAUCAGGGGGAGGUUUGUGACCCUCUUUGUCCUGGCUGAGCAGAGCUUUGGCUGUGGGGCUGAGGCAAGUUCCUGUCCCCUCUGCACAGCCAGAGCUGUGAACGUCCUCCCUUUCCUGUCCCAAUGAAUUGGAGGGGUUACUCUGUGGCUUGGGACCGUUGUCCUCCUCCCCACAGUAUUUAUAGCGUGGCACCUUCUGCCACCCUGCUGCCUCUUGCUACUGAGGGCCAUGUCCUCCUGCUGAUGCCAGAGCUGCCUUUCUGCUGGGAUGUGUUCAGCUGGGCCCCGCUCCCAAAAUGUGCCUGCGACCAUGGACAGGAGGGAGUCGGAGCAUUUUUCCUGCAGACACAAUGGGGCACAUGCAGCUGAGAUGUUCUCUCACACUACUUAGAGUCCUAUUUGGUUAUUUCUGCCCCUGUCUUGCAGUGGCUCUGGUCUUUGCCGUACCUGUGU
Neopsephotus bourkii (Bourke's parrot) is the source of this 889-nucleotide non-coding RNA. The record is from the annotation of a RefSeq genome assembly. NCBI's taxonomy places the organism in Eukaryota, Metazoa, Chordata, Aves, Psittaciformes, Psittacidae.